GAACGCUGUAGCAAUACAGAGUGGCAGACGGGUGAGUAACGCGUGGGAACGUACCCUUCGGUCUGGAAUAACCCAGGGAAACUUGGGCUAAUACCGGAUACGUGCGAGAGCAGAAAGAUUUAUCGCCGAAGGAUCGGCCCGCGUCCGAUUAGCUAGUUGGUGAGGUAAAGGCUCACCAAGGCGACGAUCGGUAGCUGGUCUGAGAGGAUGAUCAGCCACACUGGGACUGAGACACGGCCCAGACUCCUACGGGAGGCAGCAGUGGGGAAUAUUGGACAAUGGGCGAAAGCCUGAUCCAGCCAUGCCGCGUGAGUGAUGAAGGCCCUAGGGUUGUAAAGCUCUUUCGCCAGGGACGAUAAUGACGGUACCUGGAUAAGAAGCC
Molecule: ribosomal RNA, 382 nt
Filed under: Methylosinus sp.
Lineage: Bacteria; Pseudomonadati; Pseudomonadota; Alphaproteobacteria; Hyphomicrobiales; Methylocystaceae
Description: bacterial SSU rRNA
Rfam family: Bacterial small subunit ribosomal RNA
Source: RNAcentral